Molecule: ribosomal RNA, 824 nt
Filed under: Phomopsis ternstroemiae
Lineage: Eukaryota; Fungi; Ascomycota; Sordariomycetes; Diaporthales; Diaporthaceae
Description: eukaryotic LSU rRNA
Rfam family: Eukaryotic large subunit ribosomal RNA
Source: RNAcentral
AACGGCGAGUGAAGCGGCAACAGCUCAAAUUUGAAAUCUGGCCUCGGCCCGAGUUGUAAUUUGCAGAGGAUGCUUCUGGCGCGGUGCCUUCCGAGUUCCCUGGAACGGGACGCCACAGAGGGUGAGAGCCCCGUAUGGUCGGACACCAAGCCUGUGUGAAGCUCCUUCGACGAGUCGAGUAGUUUGGGAAUGCUGCUCUAAAUGGGAGGUAAAUCUCUUCUAAAGCUAAAUACCGGCCAGAGACCGAUAGCGCACAAGUAGAGUGAUCGAAAGAUGAAAAGCACCUUGAAAAGGGGGUUAAAUAGUACGUGAAAUUGUUGAAAGGGAAGCGUUUAUGACCAGACUUGCGCCGGGCGGCUCAUCAGGGGUUCUCCCCUGUGCAUUCCGCCCGGCUCAGGCCAGCAUCGGUUCCCGUGGGGGGACAAGACCGCCGGGAACGUAGCACCCUCCGGGGUGUGUUAUAGCCCGGCGGACGAUACCCUCGUGGGGACCGAGGUUCGCGCUCCGCAAGGAUGCUGGCGUAAUGGUCAUCAGCGACCCGUCUUGAAACACGGACCAAGGAGUCGUCCAUUAGAGCGAGCGUUUGGGUGUAAAACCCGCACGCGUAAUGAAAGUGAACGCAGGUGAGAGCUUCGGCGCAUCAUCGACCGAUCCUGAUGUCCUCGGAAGGAUUUGAGUAAGAGUUUUAACGGACGGACCCGAAAGACAGUGAACUAUGCUUGUAUAGGGUGAAGCCAGAGGAAACUCUGGUGGAGGCUCGCAGCGGUUCUGACGUGCAAAUCGAUCGUCAAAUAUGAGCAUGGGGGCGAAAGACUAAUCGAACU